AAAAAGGACAAGCACAAAGCACAGGUGCCACGUGUUUUUAAAAAAAAUUGGGGAAAGGGAGUAUAGCCGCGCGGCUAUACUAUUUAUAUAUUAAAAAAGGACGCGCACAAUGCACAGGUGCCACGUGUUUAAAAAAAAAUGGGGGGAGAGUGAGUAUAGCCGCGCGGCUAUACUAUGUUUAAAUAGAAAAUUAAGGAAGAAUCUAGUAUAGCCGAGCGGCUGUACUAUUUAUAGACCCGCCCAUAGCCUAUGAGCCACGUGUCAAACAGGUACAGCCGGGCAGCUGUACUAUUUAUAUUUCAAAAUUUUUAAAAACGAGUAUAGCCGCACGGCUAUACCAUUUUUUUAAAAAACAAUUAGGUGCUUUUUCAAAUACAUAUUAUUUUUAUUCAAUAAUAUGUUAGAAUUAUGUGUAUAACACGUGAAUUUUGUGUCUUAUUGAAAUUUUUGUAAAAAACAAGUGUAUUAAACAUGAGAAAUACGUGCGUACUUGUAUAAUACAUCAUUAAACGUGAAAGUGCGAAAAUCUUUAGAAAUCAAAAAGUAAAAAAUCAAAAAGGGACAGUAGAUACUCGAGUAAUGGCCUAAUAAUAACGGAUAGGGCUCUUGGGCUAUGGAGAAAUUUAAUUAGGACACCCAAAGGAUUUCAUAAAAGACUUAACAAGUACAAAUCAAUUAUUUGGUGGACUUUUUCUUUAAUUUUUUAUAUUAAAUAGUAAUUGAAAAAGGCUAAGAUAUUGCUCAAUUGCAUAUGUUUAAUUAAAGAAGAAGGCCAAAAAACAAAACUAAAGAAACUAAUUCUUUUAUAUUCAAAAGUGAAAAAAAAAAAAAAAAAAAAAACUGUACCAGAUUAAAUCUUCCUUUUGAAUAGUAUAGCCGCGCGGCUAUACUAUUUAUAUAUUAAAAAAGGACAAGCACAAAGCACAGGUGCCACGUGUUUUUAAAAAAAAUUGGGGAAAGGGAGUAUAGCCGCGCGGCUAUACUAUUUAUAUAUUAAAAAAGGACGCGCACAAUGCACAGGUGCCACGUGUUUAAAAAAAAAUGGGGGGAGAGUGAGUAUAGCCGCGCGGCUAUACUAUGUUUAAAUAGAAAAUUAAGGAAGAAUCUAGUAUAGCCGAGCGGCUGUACUAUUUAUAGACCCGCCCAUAGCCUAUGAGCCACGUGUCAAACAGGUACAGCCGGGCAGCUGUACUAUUUAUAUUUCAAAAUUUUUAAAAACGAGUAUAGCCGCACGGCUAUACCAUUUUUUUAAAAAACAAUUAGGUGCUUU
RNAcentral lists this long non-coding RNA (1270 nucleotides) under Prunus persica (peach). Its description in RNAcentral is "long non-coding RNA (PPER_LNC005058)". The record is from RNAcentral. Lineage: Eukaryota; Viridiplantae; Streptophyta; Magnoliopsida; Rosales; Rosaceae.